CAGAGGGUGCAAACGUUGUUCGGAAUUACUGGGCGUAAAGCGAGUGUAGGCGGUCUGAUAAGUCGGGUGUGAAAGCCCUGGGCUCAACCCAGGAAGUGCACUCGAAACUGUCAGGCUAGAGUAUCGGAGAGGUUGGUGGAAUUCUCGGUGUAGAGGUGAAAUUCGUAGAUAUCGAGAGGAACACCGGUGGCGAAGGCGGCCAACUGGACGAAUACUGACGCUGAGACUCGAAAGCGUGGGGAGCAAACAGGAUUAGAUACCCUGGUAGUCCACGCCGUAAACGAUGGGUGCUAGGUGUCGCGGGCUUUGACUCCCGCGGUGCCGUAGCUAACGCAUUAAGCACCCCGCCUGGGAAGUACGGCCGCAAGGCUA
This 372-nucleotide ribosomal RNA is filed under the name uncultured organism. RNAcentral describes it as "bacterial SSU rRNA". It matches the Rfam family "Bacterial small subunit ribosomal RNA", at positions 526 to 896 of the family's 1533-position model. The record is from RNAcentral.